UAUGAUUGCUAGAAGCCUUCUCUU
This 24-nucleotide small RNA is filed under the name Arabidopsis thaliana (thale cress). RNAcentral describes it as "ATSL243580". The record is from RNAcentral. Lineage: Eukaryota; Viridiplantae; Streptophyta; Magnoliopsida; Brassicales; Brassicaceae.